This 2147-nucleotide long non-coding RNA is filed under the name Olea europaea subsp. europaea. Lineage: Eukaryota; Viridiplantae; Streptophyta; Magnoliopsida; Lamiales; Oleaceae. The record is from RNAcentral.
GUCCAAUUCACUUCACACACACAAACAAACAAUAAAACCUCACAAUAACAAGAGUCAAAACUCCCCCCUCACGCCUCUCAUGCACCCAGAAGCCACAACCCACAAUCCUCGAGCCUCAAGCUACGUCCUCGCGCCUUACGCUGUGUCCUCACGCCUCAACCAUGUCUUCACGCCUCAAGCUACCAUCAACUUCGAUGCCAAUCGUCGGCCUUACUACUUUCUUCUCCGGUAUGACGCUAAUUGUUGCUAGUUGCUGCAGCAAAAAUAUACAUAUUUUUCACACCUUUUCUUUUCUAGGAUUUGGACUAAUUUUCUAGAUCUAUUUGCUCGCUAUUAGGUUUUAGUCAGUGACUUGAUUUCAACACUUUACACUUAUAUUUAGUCAUGAUCUGUUGGGGGGACUUGAAUACCCUUAAUUGGGGAUUUCUUUAUUUGUUCUUGUUUUGGAAUUGGUGAGGAAAAGAAGGACAAAGAAGAAAGAUCAAUAUAAUAUUUUCAUUAUAGUUUUAUCAUGUCGGUUCGAUUUGCAUUUCUUUUUGUUAAGAUUAUGUUUAUUUUUUUACUCUCUCAGUGACAUUGUUUUAAUUGAAUAGUGAUAACAAAUUCGAUUAUGUAAGUUUAUUUUGUCCAAACUUCGGCAUGAUUUCUUUCUACUUCUUGUUUGUAUACAAGUAAAAGAUUAGCAAUUUGAGGCCUUUAAUACUGCGUAUGGAAUUAACAUAUGUGUUUGUUAUGUCAAUUUUGGUUGCUUUAAUUUUUUUCUUCUUUAUUGUUUAUGGCGGAAUGAUUUGGGAUUAAAGGGCAUUGCUUUACUACUCAAACUGUGGCUGAUCUUCUAGUCAUUGGGAUGGUUGAUUUGCCUUUGGUGCAAACUGGUAAAGGCAUAGCGGAAUGUGAAUUUCUUCAUUGGUUUGUACAAGAGGUGAGUAAAUAACCUGUCAAAUUGUACCAUGAUUAAUCAACACAGUUGCUGGUUCUAUGAAUGAAAUAACACAUGAACUAGUAUGAACAUCUGGUACAAACAUCUCAUUAUGUUUUACCUUCUUGAAUCCACUCCAAAAUGUAUUAUCUUCUCGGCUAAGUAAGGAUUCUUAUUUAAGUGGUUCGAUUUAAUUUCACAAGCCAUAACAAGGAGUCUUCAAGUAUAUUACAGAUCAAUUUUAGGUUUUCAUGCAGCUAAGAUGAGGGAAGCCUUAUUUUUGGGGUCGGGGUGUUAAUCUAUUUGUAAGUUCAGUAGUUAAUCCAUGUUUGGAUUACUCAGUGAGUGAGUGAGUGAGAGAGAGAGAGAGAGAGACUUACUAAAUGGAAUGUUGCCUCUUCCUUUAUAAUAACUUGAGAAACGUAUUAUGAAAGAAACGGCAAUCAUGUUGACUUUUCAUCUAGUUGCAUAUGUGGUAGAAUGAUUAGACUGUUUUGUUAUGAAGUUUAGAUGAUUCUGCUUAUAUAGUUACAAUAGUUCUAUGGUUUGAAAGAUGCUUCAUAAUUUAUCUUCUAAUCGGUAUUGUUCUAAAAUCUCAAAUGCAGUGAGGGAGGUUUCUUCAAUGCUAUAAUGAGCUUCCCCCAAAAUUAACUGAACAUUCCUCCAACAGUGAGAUUUACCUCGAAGAUGUGGCAUCCUAAUGGUUUAUAUUUUCACCUAUAAGAAUGCUUUGGUACCUUCAUCAAUGUUCUGUAUUUUUUAGUGCAUUUAUUUGGAACUUAAACAUGAUAUGCAAUUUAUUUAGAUGGGAAGGUUUGUAUUUCUAUUCUUCAUCCUCUUGGCGAUGAUCCAAAUGGCUAUGUGCUUGCUAUAAAGCGUUGGUCACCUGUCCAUACGGUAUGUUAGAAAAUAAUUCCUUCAUCUUACUGUGGUGUAUUAUUAAACUAGUUGGAUCUCGUCGGCUACUAACAAUUUUGGUCAUUUGUAAUCAAAGUGCCAUUUUGGUUCGUAGGCAUGUCUUACUUAAUUUCACCUUCAAAGAUACUAUGUGCUAUUAACUUGGCUAUUUUGCUUGACAAUAUUUAUCACCUAAAUUGAUUUAACAUUAGAAAUGAUAAAUAACAUUACUCUUUUGCUAAUAUGAUGUCGAAGAGUAGACUCGUGGAUAUUGGAGAGAAUGGUAUCAAUUUACUUUGAAAAUGGUUUGACAAAAUUUUGAUAAAUGGAG